GCUCCUUCGCUCCCACUUCCCAGAGCUCCUGCACCCUCCGGACCCCGCGGGGGAGUGAGCAGCCUUGGCACCCUGAGUCAGGGAGACAUCUGUGUGCACCUUCUUCCUGAGGGGCUCGGCUACUUUGCUGACCUGGUGACAAAUCCCCUGCAGGGAGGACUGAGGACUGGACGCGCUGCCAGUUUCUGUUCAGGGCUCCCCAGUCUCCACCUAUUUUCCCCAAAGCCCUGCAGCAACCCGGGAAUUCCUGCUCUCCUGAUUACACCGCGGCACACCUGCAGAGGUGAAAAACAGACAUUUUGAUGCAAGGAUCCAAAUCGGAUAAAAAUGGAAGAUUGCGGUUGUACCAGCGUUUGGUUUUCUGCCAAAUUUCUUUACUAUAACCUGCUGGCUGCAGAAAACCACCUGCAACUUCUUGGCAAAGGUGUGGUGGACCUGGGAUGGACAGCGAAACUCCCUACUCCUGGAGAAGGAUCUUCCAGGCUUGCCGGGUGGAGCUGGUGUUUCAGGCACUUUUGUUUCGUCCCAGCCUUGGAACACAAAGCGGAUACUCUUCAGGGGACAGCAUCCUCCUUAAUCAGACCUGCACAGUAGCUUGGGUCCUGACUGCUGUGAGUUGGUUUGUGAACAAGCCACCGCUUGUUCAAACAUGCUGGUACUGAAAAUCCUA
Long non-coding RNA from Chinchilla lanigera (long-tailed chinchilla), 670 nucleotides. RefSeq lists it as uncharacterized. The transcript is spliced from 3 exons. The record is from RefSeq and is a predicted model, not a curated record. NCBI's taxonomy places the organism in Eukaryota, Metazoa, Chordata, Mammalia, Rodentia, Chinchillidae.